AGCCUGGGGACGCGGGCCGGACUCCGCCACCUGUCGGCCCGUCGGGGCGCCCACUCCCACGUCCCGGGCACCCGCAGACACCCCUCACCCCCGGGCGACGCGCGGAGCCUCUACGGCUCGCGGAGGAGGCGGGGAUCCAGCCGCGCCGCCGAGGGGGACGGGCGCGCAAGUCCAGGGCGGGCGUCCCGGGAGCCCCUCACCUCCGAGGAGUUUCGGGGAGCGAAGCGCGGGACCGGGUGGGGGUGCCCAGUGCCUUUCCUUCUCCUGUUCUCCCUUGAAAAUGCCUACUUAUACUUUAAGAAUCAUCUCAAAUGUUGCCUCCUUGGGAAACUUUCUUUGAAGCUCUGUGCCUACUCUUAAAGACUGGUCUCACUAUGUAAUUCAGACUGGACUUGAACUCACUAUGUAGCCCAGGCUGGCCUCGAACUCACGCUGAUCCUCCUGCCUCAGACUCCUGAGUGCUGAGAUUAUAGGGAUCAAACUCAGGACCUCGGGCUUGUGAGGCAGGUGCGGUGCCACUGAGCUAAAUCCCCAGCCCAACAGUGGAUUUCUCUUGUUAGAAAUCAUGGGAGGCAGAGGAAUUGGUACAACAAAAGAACCACCAACUCAGAAUCCAGCACAAAUAUCUUGCAGGAAUGAAGGGACAGUAAAGGCAUGCUCAGAUGAAUAACAGCAAAAGAAUUUGUUGCCAU
RNAcentral lists this long non-coding RNA (692 nucleotides) under Heterocephalus glaber (naked mole-rat). Its description in RNAcentral is "lncRNA (ENSHGLG00100034501.1)". Lineage: Eukaryota; Metazoa; Chordata; Mammalia; Rodentia; Bathyergidae. The record is from RNAcentral.